CUUGGUGGCCAUCAUCGCCGACUAUCCUGGACUGCUCCCUGCAUCAAAUAGAAGGCUACCAGGGCGCCGUGCUGAGCCCACGGGGGCUCAUCAGCAAAGGGCAUCCAAGCCGGGCAGGCUUAAGAGGAAGACGGUUAGGACUGAGACGCUGUCACAAAGGUAUGAUUUAAAACCUGCUCCGUGAUUAUCUUCUCUGAAAUGUAACAACGUCCAUUGUGUCCGGGAAGAAAGAGUACUCGUCGGACUAUGUCCGGAGACCCUGCCGACCACGCCUCCGCCAGCCGGAUACCAGAACCGGCCUCAAGGGUGGAGGCUAACGCGGGGACAACGCCGAAUUAUCCCCCUACAGAGGAUGCGAAUAGAAUCUCCGCUACAAACUCCAAAGUGGAGAGCGCCAUGAAUCACCGGCGCUGACGGGCCAUACUCCGCGAUGCUAAUUUCUCCGAAGAGGUGUUUAACGCCUUCAACUCAGGGGACGCAUACAUCCGAGCUGCUCAAGAUGGACUUGCUAGAGCCACGGACCAAUAUGUAAAGGAUGUACAUGUUCUUGCGGAGAAGAAUGCCUAGCUGUCGAAAGAGCUGGAGGAGUGCAAAGCCCAGCUGCGUGCCGCAGUUGCUGGAAUGGAGGAAUCCAAGAAGGCCCCAUCUGGCAAUCCCGGAGGUAAUCCGGAGAUCAUACCAGGAAAUGAGCAAUAUGCUGAACGACAGCUGAAGGCUGGCGAGCGCGUGCUUACAAAGGUUAUACAGGAGAAAAAUAAUGUCCAGGUCGUGAAGACCCCGCUUCGACGCGACAUUUAUAGUAUGCUGACAGGCCGUCCUAAAGAGGAGAUGCCCGGAUCCGCAGGAGAUCUUCUACAAGAGCUUUCACAACUGCACGAACGAGUUCGACAGGUGAUGCAGGGUAUUGCCCAAGCCUUGUGGCCGUCCGCCUCCUAGCCAAGAAGCAUGGGAGAGCUUGUAGAGCUACUCAAGGGAGCAUGGUGGCGCUUCCAAUUAUGGAAGAUAUCGGCCUGCCGACAAGGUGCGAGGGAAGCCUGGGCCAUGGUAAAGACACGGUACACCAAGGUGGGUCCGAAUCAAAUGGCCCUGUUCGGUCCUGUAGGAUCAGAUGUGAAAUAAGUUCCCGUUGGUCUGGUAUAUGACCAAGUAGGAUUAGCCGCAAAGUAUUCUCAACAGGACUAUAGGCUAGACAGCCUGUUGGAUGGUAUAGA
Long non-coding RNA from Triticum dicoccoides, 1211 nucleotides. RefSeq lists it as uncharacterized. Lineage: Eukaryota; Viridiplantae; Streptophyta; Magnoliopsida; Poales; Poaceae. The transcript has 5 exons. The record is from RefSeq and is a predicted model, not a curated record.